RNAcentral lists this transfer RNA (80 nucleotides) under Fusarium falciforme. Its description in RNAcentral is "tRNA-Ile". Lineage: Eukaryota; Fungi; Ascomycota; Sordariomycetes; Hypocreales; Nectriaceae. The record is from RNAcentral.
GGUCUCUUGGCUCAGUUGGUUAAAGGCACCGUGUUAAUAACGCGGGGAUCCAGCGGUUGGAUCCCGCUACAAAGAGACCA